Molecule: long non-coding RNA, 2118 nt
Organism: Felis catus (domestic cat)
Lineage: Eukaryota; Metazoa; Chordata; Mammalia; Carnivora; Felidae
Exons: 3
Source: RefSeq, a predicted model, not a curated record
GGAAGCCACUGUGGACAUUUAAGGGGUAGGGGAUCAUGUUCCCCCUCCUCAAGGGCCAUGUAUUCACAUAAAUGAUUGGGAUUCCUCUGCAUGAGAGACGCGUCUCUUCUAUUACGUUGUGUUUGUUUUAUGAGACGGCGGCCGCGUGAGCGUAACCACGGUGACGAUUAACAUCAUUAUUUCCGGACGGCGCCGAUACUCUAAGACUUCAAAACUUUGUUGGGAAAAAUAGAAACUUGCAAGAAAAACCCAUGCAGAAGCUGAAAACGGUUUUCUCAAUGGCAAGCCGUGGAGACCCGGUCUUUGGUGUUCCUUUUCUUGAACAAACCAGUGAAAUGGGCCUAUUGGUUAUGCGUGCUUAGCAAAGACCAUCACUUGCGGUGGAGAUAUUUGAGGGCUGCCUGCUCGGGAACUGCCCUGUGUCACACUUCACAAAAGGUUGUCCAAGGUAUGGGCAGAUGUUGUGAGCAAGAAUCUGCAAACAGAACCUCUAGGGUGCUGUCAACGGUGUGUUUAUGCAAAUCUGACGUGGAGUCUAUUUAAUCUCAGCUACUACGGGGUGUGACAGAAGCCCUGGAAUUUCAGGCACUCCUCCCUGGGCACGACUAACGUGCAUUCUUUGUCCCAUUCCCACCUGGACUCUUCACGUCUACUGGCUCGGCUGCCCGCAUCCCAGACUGGGGUGGAGGGCUCUUCCCCAUGCAGAGCUCAGCUUUCUGAGGCAUGCCAUGCAGUGAUCCCUUGGGGGCCUCGCCCUGCACCCAGGGACCACCAUGGUGCCCAAGCUGGCAGCCCCGGAUGCCGUCACGAGUAGCAGCUGUCAUUGUUAAAGAAGCAGCAACAAGAGGAUUGUUGAUCUCAAAAGCAGUACGAACCAACACUUAAUAACAGAAGCAUGUUUUUAAGUUCCCUUCGUAUAUUAUCUCACGUAAUUACCACAGUGACUCCAUCAGAUAUCUUACUAUGCUGCACUCACCCUUCCUCUUGUGAUGAUGUGAGAUGAUAAAUGCCUGUGUGAUGAGAUGAAGCGAGGUGAAUGACGCGGGCCCUGUGACGUAGCAUUUUAGGCUACUAUUGAUCUCCUGACAUAUGUCAGAAAGAAGACCACCCAUUCCAGAGCGUGGUUGACCGCAGGUAACUGAAACCAUGGAAAGUGAAACCAAAAUCGUGGCUAAGGGAGGACUCCUGUGUAUCCUGAUUUCACGAAUGAGGAAAUAAGUCUUAGAGAAGCUAAUUAUCUUGAAGGUAAUAUGGCCAGAAAGGAGCAAAACUAUGAGUUGGAUCACAUUACUCUAUUACCUCCCAAUCUCAUUUGAAGACUAUGCAUCAUAUUUUAAAUAUGUGUUAGCUUUUUGAAAAGAAGUGUUGAACAUCCUCAGGUCCUGCAGAUUUCUGACUUGGUCCUAUGGAUUUUCUUGAUAGUCUUUGUCCUAUUAAUAAAAACUCUUCAUCAAUGUUGCCAGUGUUGAUUCAUAUAUGGUCUCUCAUAGCUUUUGCACCCAUCAAUUACAACGUAAAAUGUUGAACCCAAAUGAAAAAGUUUUGUCUCCUUUAUAGAUGUCAAGUACAGGCAGAUUUGAAAGAUGGCACAAAGGAAUAGAUGUGGAGAUAACAUAAAUAUGAAAUCAGUGGUCACCUCUCUUGAAAAUAUCAAGUCGCUUUGUGUGCGAGCUAUUGAAUGUUAUAUGCAGACACUUUGCAGAAUGAAUGUUGUAUAUGCAGCCAUCCUGUGUGUGCACACUAAACAUUGAUUUCUGAAAUGUGAAAAUGCACUAUUUUCACCAAAGUUGCUCUGCAACUUAAGAAGAUGAAAGUUGAGGGUUGCCCAGCCUCUCUUUCACCCUCCCCACCCCCUACAACCUCCCUUCAAAAGGAUGACAGUGCCUCCAAUUGUCACUGUGAACUUGAAGAUGUUAGAAAGGGGUGGUUGAAGGAGAGGCUCAUCCACCACCAAGUCUGCUUUAUUUUUUUUUUCUGUGAGCUUGUCUUUUCUGAGCUGCAGAACAGCCCUACAAUUGUUACUUAUAAGCAUGAGCUGAGAAAUUUUUGAGAGUCUUAUUUUCUUUCUUUUUUAAAAAAUUCUUUUUAUUUACAUUUAUUUAUUUUUGAGAGACAGAA